GACGAACGCUGGCGGCGUGCCUAACACAUGCAAGUCGAGCGGAGGCGCAGAAGGAGUAAUCCGGAAGCGCUUUAGCGGCGGACGGGUGAGUAACGCGUGAGCUACCUACCUUUCACAGGGGGGAUAACGGAGGGAAACCUUCACUAAUACCGCAUAAGACCACAACACCGCAUGGUGAUGGGGUCAAAGGAGCAAUCCGGUGGAAGAUGGGCUCGCGUCCUAUUAGAUAGUUGGUGGGGUAAUGGCUCACCAAGGCGACGAUCCGUAGCUGGUCUGAGAGGAUGACCAGCCACACUGGGACUGAGACACGGCCCAGACUCCUACGGGUGGCAG
RNAcentral lists this ribosomal RNA (333 nucleotides) under uncultured Bacillota bacterium. RNAcentral describes it as "bacterial SSU rRNA". It matches the Rfam family "Bacterial small subunit ribosomal RNA", at positions 28 to 351 of the family's 1533-position model. Lineage: Bacteria; Bacillati; Bacillota. The record is from RNAcentral.